This 449-nucleotide ribosomal RNA is filed under the name uncultured prokaryote. Its description in RNAcentral is "bacterial SSU rRNA". It matches the Rfam family "Bacterial small subunit ribosomal RNA", at positions 355 to 796 of the family's 1533-position model. The record is from RNAcentral.
UGGGGAAUUUUGCGCAAUGGGCGAAAGCCUGACGCAGCGACGCCGCGUGUACGAUGAAGGCCUUUGGGUCGUAAAGUACUGUCAACGGGGACGAACGCCUCAGGUUGAAUAGGUCUGAGGUCUGACGGUACCCGUGGAGGAAGCACCGGCUAACUCUGUGCCAGCAGCCGCGGUAAUACGGAGGAUGCAAGCGUUAUUCGGAAUUAUUGGGCGUAAAGCGUCCGCAGGUGGUGCCUCAAGUCUGCUGUCAAAGACCGAAGCUCAACUUCGGGCAGGCAGUGGAAACUGAAGCACUAGAGUACGGUAGGGGUAGAGGGAAUUUCCAGUGUAGCGGUGAAAUGCGUAGAGAUUGGAAAGAACACCAGUGGCGAAGGCGCUCUACUGGACCGUAACUGACACUCAGGGACGAAAGCUAGGGGAGCGAAAGGGAUUAGAUACCCCUGUAGUCC